Molecule: ribosomal RNA, 537 nt
Filed under: Chaetomium globosum
Lineage: Eukaryota; Fungi; Ascomycota; Sordariomycetes; Sordariales; Chaetomiaceae
Description: eukaryotic LSU rRNA
Rfam family: 5.8S ribosomal RNA (bases 207-360)
Source: RNAcentral
UUCCGUAAAUGAACCUGCGGAGGGAUCAUUACAGAGUUGCAAAACUCCCUAAACCAUUGUGAACGUUACCUAUACCGUUGCUUCGGCGGGCGGCCCCGGGGUUUACCCCCCGGGCGCCCCUGGGCCCCACCGCGGGCGCCCGCCGGAGGUCACCAAACUCUUGAUAAUUUAUGGCCUCUCUGAGUCUUCUGUACUGAAUAAGUCAAAACUUUCAACAACGGAUCUCUUGGUUCUGGCAUCGAUGAAGAACGCAGCGAAAUGCGAUAAGUAAUGUGAAUUGCAGAAUUCAGUGAAUCAUCGAAUCUUUGAACGCACAUUGCGCCCGCCAGCAUUCUGGCGGGCAUGCCUGUUCGAGCGUCAUUUCAACCAUCAAGCCCCCGGGYUYUGUGUAGGGGACCUGCGGCUGCCGCAGGCCCUGAAAAGCAGUGGCGGGCUCGCUGUCGCACCGAGCGUAGUAGCAUACAUCUCGCUCUGGUCGCGCCGCGGGUUCCGGCCGUUAAACCACCUUUUUAACCCAAGGUUGACCUCGGAUCAGUA